This 19-nucleotide microRNA is filed under the name Manduca sexta (tobacco hornworm). RNAcentral's name for it is "mse-miR-1926". Lineage: Eukaryota; Metazoa; Arthropoda; Insecta; Lepidoptera; Sphingidae. The record is from miRBase by way of RNAcentral.
AGGAAUUCUAAAGCAAAAA